Ribosomal RNA from Laccaria bicolor S238N-H82, 425 nucleotides. It matches the Rfam family "Eukaryotic large subunit ribosomal RNA", at positions 2970 to 3401 of the family's 3401-position model. The record is from Rfam. Lineage: Eukaryota; Fungi; Basidiomycota; Agaricomycetes; Agaricales; Hydnangiaceae.
GUCGUGAGACAGGUUAGUUUUACCCUACUGAUGGAGUGUUAUCGUAAUAGUAAUUGAACUUAGUACGAGAGGAACCGUUCAUUCAGAUAUUUGGUAUUUGCGCCUGUCCGAUCGGGCAAUGGCGCGAAGCUAUCAUCUGCUGGAUUAUGGCUGAACGCCUCUAAGCCAGAAUCCGUGCUAGAAACGAUGAUGUUGGUCCCGCACAUUUGACUUGUGUUAAAAUAGAGCUUUGCUCGUGUACCAAAUCAGGUGGACUGGGCUGUCAGUGUGGAAAUGCAUUGGCAGUUUGUUCACGAAUUGUAAUCAUUAUAUGGNCGGGGGUGAAUCCUUUGCAGACGACUUGAAUGGGAACGGGGUACUGUAAGCGGUAGAGUAGCCUUGUUGCUACGAUCCGCUGAGGUUAAGCCCUUGUUCUAAAGAUUUGU